UGGGGAAUUUUGCGCAAUGGGGGAAACCCUGACGCAGCAACGCCGCGUGGAGGAUGAAGUCCUUCGGGACGUAAACUCCUUUCGAUCGGGACGAUUAUGACGGUACCGGAAGAAGAAGCCCCGGCUAACUUCGUGCCAGCAGCCGCGGUAAUACGAGGGGGGCGAACGUUGUUCGGAAUUAUUGGGCGUAAAGGGUGCGUAGGCGGUUUUGUAAGUCUUAUGUGAAAUCUAUGGGCUCAACUCAUAGACUGCAUGAGAAACUGCAGGGCUCGAGUAUGGGAGAGGUGAGUGGAAUUCCUGGUGUAGCGGUGAAAUGCGUAGAUAUCAGGAGGAACACCUGUGGCGAAAGCGGCUCACUGGACCAUAACUGACGCUGAUGCACGAAAGCUAGGGGAGCAAACAGGAUUAGAUACCCUGGUAGUCCUAGCCCUAAACCAUGAUUGCUUGGUGUGACGGGUACCCAAUCCCGCCGUGCCGUAGCUAACGCGUUAAGCAAUCCGCCUGGGGAGUACGGUCGCAAGGCUG
RNAcentral lists this ribosomal RNA (525 nucleotides) under uncultured bacterium. Its description in RNAcentral is "bacterial SSU rRNA". It matches the Rfam family "Bacterial small subunit ribosomal RNA", at positions 355 to 896 of the family's 1533-position model. The record is from RNAcentral.